GCCAGGCAUGCUGGUGCAUGCCUGUAAUCCCAGUUACUCAGGAGGCUGAGGCAGGAGAAUCACUUGAACCUGGGAGGUGGAGGUUGCAGUGAGCUGAGAUUGCACCACUGCACUCCAGCCUGAGUGACAGAGUGAGACCCUGUCUCAA
Molecule: non-coding RNA, 148 nt
Organism: Homo sapiens (human)
Lineage: Eukaryota; Metazoa; Chordata; Mammalia; Primates; Hominidae
Rfam family: Metazoan signal recognition particle RNA
About the family: The signal recognition particle (SRP) is a universally conserved ribonucleoprotein. It is involved in the co-translational targeting of proteins to membranes. The eukaryotic SRP consists of a 300-nucleotide 7S RNA and six proteins: SRPs 72, 68, 54, 19, 14, and 9.
Source: Rfam